GAUGAACGCUGGCGGCGUGCUUAACACAUGCAAGUCGAACGAGAAAUGGAGACGGAAACCUUCGGGCGGAAGGCUUCAUUUCGAGUGGCGGACGGGUGAGUAACGCGUGGGUAACCUGCCUCAUACAGGGGGAUAACAGUUGGAAACGACUGUUAAUACCGCAUAAGACCACAGCACCGCAUGGUGCGGGGGUAAAAACUCCGGUGGUAUGAGAUGGACCCGCGUUCGAUUAGCCAGUUGGCGGGGUAACGGCCCACCAAAGCGACGAUCGAUAGCCGAUCUGAGAGGAUGACCGGCCACAUUGGGACUGAGACACGGCCCAAACUCCUACGGGAGGCAGCAGUGGGGAAUAUUGCACAAUGGGGGAAACCAUGAUGCAGCGACGCCGCGUGAGUGAAGAAGUACUUCGGUAUGUAAAGCUCUAUCAGCAGGGAAGAAAAUGACGGUACCUGAGGAAGAAGCCCCGGCUAACUACGUG
RNAcentral lists this ribosomal RNA (478 nucleotides) under uncultured bacterium. Its description in RNAcentral is "partial 16S ribosomal RNA". It matches the Rfam family "Bacterial small subunit ribosomal RNA", at positions 28 to 507 of the family's 1533-position model. The record is from RNAcentral.